GCUCCCUCUGCCUGAGGCCCCCGGGCACUAGGCCCCAGAGGAGGCCCCCGGGGGCCCCUCCACGGUCCAGUCUUCACUCCCCUCCACUCUGAAACCUUGUAGGUACCCAGGCUGUGAGUCUAUGACGCUCUUCUCUUGCGCUUGUGUUAUUUAUCUGUCAUUCUUCCCUUGGGUUUCCUUUCGUAGUCCACUGGAGAUGGGGCCUCUCUCUCCAGAGGACGCCUGGGCCAUAGUGAUCCAUUUAGAAGCAGGAAGACAGCUCUGGAGGAUAGUAGAUGUCAUUUCCGAAUGUGAACAGCUUUCUCAGGCCCAUCACAGCCAGCCAAAUCAGGCUGGCAAUUUGUAAACAACAGCUCUUCCUCCCGGCCAGGCCCACGGUGACAAAACUAAAGGGCUACCUGCUCCUUCCUUGCUUCUCUCCCCCCUCCCUCCCUCCCUUCCUCCCUUCCUCCCUCCCUUCUUUCCCCCUCCCUCCCUCCCUUCUUUCCUCCCUCCCUUCCUCCCUUCCUUCCUCCCUCCCUUCUCUCCUCCCUCCCUCCCUCCCUUCCUCCCUUCCUUCUGUCCCCCCUCCCUUCCUUCUCUCCCCCUCCCUCCCUCCCUUCCUUCUCUCUUCCCUCCCUUCCUCCCUUCCUUGUCUCCCCCUCCCUCCCUCCCUUCCUCCCUUCCUCCCUCCCUUCUUUCCUCCCUCCCUCCCUUCUUUCCUCCCUCCCUUCCUCCCUUCCUCCCUUCCUCCCUUCCUUCUCUCCCCCUCCCUCCCUCCCUUCCUCCCUCCCUUCCUCCUUCCCUUCCUUCCUUCCUUCCUUCCUUCUUUCCUUCCUUCCUUCCUUCCUCCUUCCCUUCCUUCCUCCCUUCCUCCCUUCCUCCUUCCCUUCCUUCCUCCCUUCCUUCUCUCUUCCCUCCCUUCCUUUUUUCUUUCUUUCCUUCCUUCCUCCCUUCCUUCUCUCUUCCCUCCCUUCCUUCUCUCUUCCCUCCCUUCCUUUUUUCUUUCUUUCCUUCCUUCCUUCCUUCCUUCUUUCUUUCCUUCCUUCCUUCUUUCUUUCCUUCCUUCCUUCUUUCCUUCCUUCCUUCUUUCUUUCCUUCCUUCCUCCUUCCCUUCCUCCCCCUCCUCCCUCUCUUCCUUCCCUCUUUCCUUCCUUCCUCCUUCCCUCCCUUCCUUUUUUCUUUCUUUCCUUCCUUCCUUCCUUUCCUCCUUCUUUCCUUCCUUUUUUCCUAUCUUCCUUCCUCCCUCCUUCCUUCCUUCUCUUUCCCUUCUUCCUUCUUUCUUUCCCUUCCUUCUGUUUCUCUUCCUCCUCUUCUUCUUCAAAGAGACCAAAUAGAAAUAACGCUGAGGGAUCCUGCAGGGACUCUGGGCACCAGAGCAAAACUCCCAGAGAUCCGUGCACAAACACAGAUCCCUCCUCCUCUUCAUGAUUUCACCCAAAGUACGGUCACCCUCCUUGAG
Molecule: long non-coding RNA, 1441 nt
Filed under: Felis catus (domestic cat)
Lineage: Eukaryota; Metazoa; Chordata; Mammalia; Carnivora; Felidae
Description: lncRNA (ENSFCAG00000052563.1)
Source: RNAcentral